Molecule: RNase P RNA, 442 nt
Filed under: Parcubacteria group bacterium CG1_02_37_51
Lineage: Bacteria
Also listed under: 1 other name
Description: RNase P RNA component class A
Rfam family: Bacterial RNase P class A
About the family: Ribonuclease P (RNase P) is a ubiquitous endoribonuclease, found in archaea, bacteria and eukarya as well as chloroplasts and mitochondria. Its best characterised activity is the generation of mature 5'-ends of tRNAs by cleaving the 5'-leader elements of precursor-tRNAs.
Source: RNAcentral
UAAGAGGGCUAGACGAUUGCCCUGCCUAGCUUUAUGCGAUGCAGGGAGGAAAGUCCGAACACCAUUUUAGCCUUUAAUAAAAGGUGAAUAGUCGGUAAUUCCGACCCAAUAGACAGCUUUGCUGUUUGUUGAGGACAAGUGCAACAGAAAAUAUUCCAGCCGAGCUGCUCGUGAGCAGCUGGGUAAUGGGUGAAAAGGUGGUAAUUCCCUAAAAAGAAUUUGUUGGCUUACGAGUCAAUGGUAAGAGACCACCAGCAAAUAUGGUGACAUAUUUGGCUAGGUAAACUUCUAUUCGGUGCAAGCUCAAGUAGGUUCAGACCUUCGGGUUAUGAACGGGUUGAGUGCAAGAUCAUAUUAAGCAAUUAAUAUGGCUAGAUAGAUAAUCGUCCGUGGCUCGUUUGACGAACCACGACAGAAUUCGGCUUAUCGGUUCUCUUAAGCA